RNAcentral lists this ribosomal RNA (500 nucleotides) under uncultured bacterium. RNAcentral describes it as "partial 16S ribosomal RNA". It matches the Rfam family "Bacterial small subunit ribosomal RNA", at positions 30 to 523 of the family's 1533-position model. The record is from RNAcentral.
AUUGAACGCUGGCGGCAUGCCUUACACAUGCAAGUCGAACGGCAGCACGGGAGCAAUCCUGGUGGCGAGUGGCGAACGGGUGAGUAAUAUAUCGGAACGUGCCCAGUCGUGGGGGAUAACGCAGCGAAAGCUGUGCUAAUACCGCAUACGAUCUACGGAUGAAAGCGGGGGAUCGCAAGACCUCGCGCGAUUGGAGCGGCCGAUAUCAGAUUAGCUAGUUGGUGGGGUAAAGGCCCGCCAAGGCGACGAUCUGUAGCUGGUCUGAGAGGACGACCAGCCACACUGGAACUGAGACACGGUCCAGACUCCUACGGGAGGCAGCAGUGGGGAAUUUUGGACAAUGGGCGCAAGCCUGAUCCAGGAAUGCCGCGUGCAGGAUGAAGGCCUUCGGGUUGUAAACUGCUUUUGUACGGAACGAAACGGCCCUUUCUAAUACAGGGGGCUAGUGACGGUACCGUAAGAAUAAGCACCGGCUAACUACGUGCCAGCCGCCGCCGUAA